GAUGAACGCUAGCGGCAGGCCUAACACAUGCAAGUCGAGGGAGAGGUUACCUUCGGGUAACCAAAACCGGCGCACGGGUGCGUAACGCGUAUACAAUCUGCCUUUCACAUAGGGAUAGCCCGAAGAAAUUUGGAUUAAUACCUAAUGGUAUAUAAGAGCGGCAUCGUUUUUAUAUUAAAGCUACGGUGGUGAAAGAUGAGUAUGCGUUCUAUUAGCUAGUUGGAGAGGUAACGGCUCCCCAAGGCGACGAUAGAUAGGGGUUCUGAGAGGGAUGUCCACCACACUGGUACUGAGAUACGGACCAGACUCCUACGGGAGGCAGCAGUGAGGAAUAUUGGACAAUGGUCGGAAGACUGAUCCAGCCAUGCCGCGUGCAGGAUGAAGGUACUAUGGAUUGUAAACUGCUUUUGUAAGGGAAGAAUAAGGAGUACGUGUACUUUGAUGACGGUACCUUACGAAUAAGCAUCGGCUAACUACGUG
RNAcentral lists this ribosomal RNA (480 nucleotides) under uncultured bacterium. RNAcentral describes it as "partial 16S ribosomal RNA". It matches the Rfam family "Bacterial small subunit ribosomal RNA", at positions 28 to 507 of the family's 1533-position model. The record is from RNAcentral.